RNAcentral lists this small RNA (131 nucleotides) under pig gut metagenome. Its description in RNAcentral is "Ribosomal protein L10 leader". It matches the Rfam family "Ribosomal protein L10 leader". From Rfam's summary of the family: This family is a putative r-protein leader autoregulatory structure found in B. subtilis and other low-GC Gram-positive bacteria. It is located in the 5' untranslated regions of mRNAs encoding ribosomal proteins L10 and L12 (rplJ-rplL). The record is from RNAcentral.
AUAGUUUGUUAUACGCCGUAGACAGUAGGUGCAUUAUUGCUUAAUUUCCUACCGAGGUCAUCUGAUGUAAAAUUAUUACAUGAGUAUUUUAGCCUCUUUUUGUCUAGAAUAAAAAGAGGCAUUUAUUAUUU